This 253-nucleotide ribosomal RNA is filed under the name uncultured bacterium. Its description in RNAcentral is "partial 16S ribosomal RNA". It matches the Rfam family "Bacterial small subunit ribosomal RNA", at positions 524 to 776 of the family's 1533-position model. The record is from RNAcentral.
UACGAACCGUCCAAACGUUAUUCGGAAUCACUGGGCUUACAGAGUUCGUAGGCGGUCUGGAAAGUUGGGUGUGAAAUCCCUCGGCUCAACCGAGGAACUGCGCUCAAAACUACCCGACUCGAGGGAGAUAGAGGAAAGCGGAACUGAUGGUGGAGCGGUGAAAUGCGUUGAUAUCAUCAGGAACACCGGUGGCGAAGGCGGCUUUCUGGGUCUUACCUGACGCUGAGGAACGAAAGCCAGGGGAGCGAACGGG